AACGCUGGCGGCGUGCCUAAUACAUGCAAGUCGAGCGAACAGACGAGGAGCUUGCUCCUCUGACGUUAGCGGCGGACGGGUGAGUAACACGUGGAUAACCUACCUAUAAGACUGGGAUAACUUCGGGAAACCGGAGCUAAUACCGGAUAACAUGUUGAACCGCAUGGUUCAACAGUGAAAGACGGUCUUGCUGUCACUUAUAGAUGGAUCCGCGCCGCAUUAGCUAGUUGGUAAGGUAACGGCUUACCAAGGCAACGAUGCGUAGCCGACCUGAGAGGGUGAUCGGCCACACUGGAACUGAGACACGGUCCAGACUCCUACGGGAGGCAGCAGUAGGGAAUCUUCCGCAAUGGGCGAAAGCCUGACGGAGCAACGCCGCGUGAGUGAAGAAGGUCUUCGGAUCGUAAAACUCUGUUAUUAGGGAAGAACAAAUGUGUAAGUAACUAUGCACGUCUUGACGGUACCUAAUCAGAAAGCCACGGCUAACUACGUGCCAGCAGCCGCGGUAAUACGUAGGUGGCAAGCGUUAUCCGGAAUUAUUGGGCGUAAAGCGCGCGUAGGCGGUUUUUUAAGUCUGAUGUGAAAGCCCACGGCUCAACCGUGGAGGGUCAUUGGAAACUGGAAAACUUGAGUGCAGAAGAGGAAAGUGGAAUUCCAUGUGUAGCGGUGAAAUGCGCAGAGAUAUGGAGGAACACCAGUGGCGAAGGCGACUUUCUGGUCUGUAACUGACGCUGAUGUGCGAAAGCGUGGGGAUCAAACAGGAUUAGAUACCCUGGUAGUCCACGCCGUAAACGAUGAGUGCUAAGUGUUAGGGGGUUUCCGCCCCUUAGUGCUGCAGCUAACGCAUUAAGCACUCCGCC
This 860-nucleotide ribosomal RNA is filed under the name Staphylococcus sp. M_A_03/11_4_1. RNAcentral's name for it is "bacterial SSU rRNA". It matches the Rfam family "Bacterial small subunit ribosomal RNA", at positions 32 to 873 of the family's 1533-position model. RNAcentral also lists the same sequence under 2 other names. The record is from RNAcentral. Lineage: Bacteria; Bacillati; Bacillota; Bacilli; Caryophanales; Staphylococcaceae.